UACGUAGGGUGCGAGCGUUGUCCGGAAUUAUUGGGCGUAAAGAGCUCGUAGGCGGUUUGUCACGUCUGCUGUGAAAUCCCGAGGCUCAACCUCGGGCCUGCAGUGGGUACGGGCAGACUGGAGUGCGGUAGGGGAGAAUGAAAUUCCUGGUGUAGCGGUGGAAUGCGCAGAUAUCAGGAGGAACACCGAUGGCGAAGGCAGGUCUCUGGGCCGAUACUGACGCUGAGGAGCGAAAGCGUGGGGAUCAAACAGG
This 253-nucleotide ribosomal RNA is filed under the name uncultured bacterium. RNAcentral's name for it is "partial 16S ribosomal RNA". It matches the Rfam family "Bacterial small subunit ribosomal RNA", at positions 524 to 776 of the family's 1533-position model. The record is from RNAcentral.